RNAcentral lists this unclassified non-coding RNA (256 nucleotides) under air metagenome. Its description in RNAcentral is "partial contains small subunit ribosomal RNA, internal transcribed spacer 1, and 5.8S ribosomal RNA". The stretch from base 1 to 46 matches the Rfam family "Eukaryotic small subunit ribosomal RNA", at positions 1786 to 1831 of the family's 1831-position model. The record is from RNAcentral.
AAGUCGUAACAAGGUUUCCGUAGGUGAACCUGCGGAAGGAUCAUUAUCGAGUUUUGAAAGGGGCUGUAGCUGGCCUUCCGAGGCAUGUGCACGCCCUGCUCAAUCCACUCUACACCUGUGCACUUACUGUGGGUUCUGGGAAAGUCUUUGCGGGCUUUCUCGGGCCUGCGUUUAUCUACAAAUCCCUUUUGUAUCAGAAUGUAACGCAUUGUAAUGCAUCUAUAUACAACUUUCAGCAACGGAUCUCUUGGCUCUC